This 157-nucleotide ribosomal RNA is filed under the name Drosophila ananassae. Its description in RNAcentral is "5.8S ribosomal RNA". It matches the Rfam family "5.8S ribosomal RNA". From Rfam's summary of the family: 5.8S ribosomal RNA (5.8S rRNA) is a component of the large subunit of the eukaryotic ribosome. It is transcribed by RNA polymerase I as part of the 45S precursor that also contains 18S and 28S rRNA. Functionally, it is thought that 5.8S rRNA may be involved in ribosome translocation. The record is from Rfam by way of RNAcentral. Lineage: Eukaryota; Metazoa; Arthropoda; Insecta; Diptera; Drosophilidae.
AACUCUAAGCGGUGGAUCACUCGGCUCAUGGGUCGAUGGAGAACGCAGCAAGCUGUGCGUCAUGUGCGUGUGUCUGCAACGAUUAUCGCAGACCAUGCUGUUAUGUACUUUUAUUAAUUUUAAAGUGAUGCUUGGACUACCAUAUGGUUGAGGGUUG